This 375-nucleotide ribosomal RNA is filed under the name uncultured organism. RNAcentral's name for it is "partial 16S ribosomal RNA". It matches the Rfam family "Bacterial small subunit ribosomal RNA", at positions 527 to 896 of the family's 1533-position model. The record is from RNAcentral.
GUAGGUGGCAAGCGUUGUCCGGAAUUAUUGGGGCGUAAAGCGCGCGCAGGUGGUUCUUUAAGUCUGAUGUGAAAGCCCCCGGGCUCAACCGGGGGAGGGUCAUUGGAAACUGGGGAACUUGAGUGCAGGAGAGGAAAGUGGAAUUCCACGUGUAGCGGUGAAAUGCGUAGAUAUGUGGAGGAACACCAGUGGCGAAGGCGACUUUCUGGCCUGUAACUGACACUGAGGCGCGAAAGCGUGGGGAGCAAACAGGAUUAGAUACCCUGGUAGUCCACGCCGUAAACGAUGAGUGCUAAGUGUUGGGGGGUUUCCGCCCCUCAGUGCUGCAGCUAGCGCAUUAAGCACUCCGCCUGGGGAGUACGGUCGCAAAGACUG